CAUUUUUCUGAUCAUCUGAAGAUCAGCUAUUCGAAGAGAAAGAUCAGCCAAGUCCUUUGGACCUGAUCAACAAUACAGGAGCUACUGAUUUCAGCGACUUUGGCUUCUCUCUCUCCAAAAUGAUGAAUUAUACAAGUUAUAUCUUAGCUUUUCAGCUUUGCGUGAUU
Molecule: non-coding RNA, 167 nt
Organism: Pteropus alecto (black flying fox)
Lineage: Eukaryota; Metazoa; Chordata; Mammalia; Chiroptera; Pteropodidae
Source: Rfam